Molecule: ribosomal RNA, 289 nt
Filed under: uncultured bacterium
Lineage: Bacteria
Description: partial 16S ribosomal RNA
Rfam family: Bacterial small subunit ribosomal RNA
Source: RNAcentral
GCGGGAAUUAGAUUCAGGCCUAACCCAUGCACGUCCCCCGGUAGCGCAGGAAGGUUGCUUCUGGCUGGCGAGCGGCGGACGGGUGAGUAAUGUCUGGCAAACUGCCUGAUGGAGGGGGAUAUCUCCUGGAAAAAAAAACUAAUCCCCCAUACCGUCCCAAGACCAAAGAGGGGGACCUUGGGCCCUCUUCCCAUCAGAUGUGCCCACAUGGGAUUACCUAUUAGGUGGGGUAAGGGCUCACGUAGGCCACGAUCCCUCCCUGGUCUGAGAGGAUGACCACCCACACUGG